RNAcentral lists this ribosomal RNA (440 nucleotides) under uncultured bacterium. Its description in RNAcentral is "bacterial SSU rRNA". It matches the Rfam family "Bacterial small subunit ribosomal RNA", at positions 338 to 770 of the family's 1533-position model. The record is from RNAcentral.
CCUACGGGAGGCAGCAGUGGGGAAUUUUGGACAAUGGGGGCAACCCUGAUCCAGCAAUGCCGCGUGUGUGAAGAAGGCCUUCGGGUUGUAAAGCACUUUUGUCCGGAAAGAAAACCUCUGCCCUAAUACGGCGGGGGGAUGACGGUACCGGAAGAAUAAGCACCGGCUAACUACGUGCCAGCAGCCGCGGUAAUACGUAGGGUGCGAGCGUUAAUCGGAAUUACUGGGCGUAAAGCGUGCGCAGGCGGUUUGACAAGACAGGCGUGAAAUCCCCGGGCUUAACCUGGGAAUGGCGCUUGUGACUGUCAGGCUAGAGUAUGUCAGAGGGGGGUAGAAUUCCACGUGUAGCAGUGAAAUGCGUAGAGAUGUGGAGGAAUACCGAUGGCGAAGGCAGCCCCCUGGGACGUCACUGACGCUCAUGCACGAAAGCGUGGGGAGCA